RNAcentral lists this long non-coding RNA (1963 nucleotides) under Olea europaea (common olive). RNAcentral describes it as "long non-coding RNA (OEUR_LNC010686)". The record is from RNAcentral. Lineage: Eukaryota; Viridiplantae; Streptophyta; Magnoliopsida; Lamiales; Oleaceae.
GGACUUCCAAUCAGAAUAAAGGAUUCAUGGCCAUCACCGCACAUUUUAUAGAUGAUGCUUGGAGACUUUAAAGUCGUAUUAUGAGGUAUUUAUCUUGUAUGAAAUUAAUUUAGCUUAUUGUUACAUAAUAUUUAAAAUUUAUUUUUGUCGUAAUAAUGUUAUUUUAUUUAUUGGAUAAUGUUCAUAUAUGUGCCGUGUCCGCACACGUCUGAGGCAUUGAGUAUAUUGUUGAUGGAUUGCUUAUCGAAUUGGAAUAUUGAUCGUAAGUUGUCUACUUUAACUAUCGAUAAUUGUACUACGAAUGAUGCCAUGAUCAAUAUUGUUUUAGAUAAACUUUUCCAUAGUUCACUUAUGCUAAAUGGUGAAUUUUUUUCAUUUGCAUUGUUGUGCACAUAUAUUGAACUUGAUAGUUAAAGAUGGUUUAGAGAUCAUUAGCUCUAGUGUUGAGAAAAUUAGUGAUAAUGUUGCAUAGUGGACAGUAACUCCAAAAAGAUUCGAGAACUUUGAGACUUCAGCACGUCAAUUGAAAAUUUAUCGUUCCAAAAAGUUAGCGCUAGAUUGCAAAAUGAGGUGGAACUCUACCUAUUUAAUGCUUCAUGGUGCUUUACAAUAUAUGGAUGUUUUUUCUCAACUAAAGCAACGUGAGACACAAUAUAAAUGUUUGCCUAGUGAUGUAGAUUGGAAUUUAGCGAAAGAGAUACGUGAAAGGUUGGGGGUGUUUUUUGAAGUGGCUGAAAUAUUUUCUGGGACUAAGUACCCAACAUCCAAUCUUUAUUUUUCUAAUAUUUGUGAGAUAAAGUUGUCAAUUUAUGAUUAAAUGAAAUCUUCUUAUGAUGAAAUCAAGAUGAUUGCUUCAAGUAUGAUUGAUAAGUUUGAAAAAUAUUGGAGUGAGAUUCAUGGAAUUUUGGUAGUAGAUAGUGUGUUGGAUCCAAGAUUUAAAAUGAAGUUGGUUGAAUAUUAUUUUCCAAUGAUUUAUGGAAAUGAAGUUUUGGAUCUUGAGAUUCAAAAUGUUAGAAGAUUUUGUCAUAAACUUCUAAAUGAGUACAAAAUAAGCCAUGGAUCAAGUGGUAAUAGGAUCGAAUCUUCAAACCGAAUUGAGAUAUUUACUAAUAUGAGCAAAAAGGAUCGGUUGGCACAAUUUGAUUUAUUUUUUCUAAUACGACGAGUACUGAUAGUAUGAAAUCAGAGCUUGGCACUUUCUUAGACGAGCCCAUACUGCCUAGAUCAAUUGAUUUUGACAUAUUGGCAUAGUGGAAUACAAAUUCAAUAAAAUAUCAUCUUUUGCAAAAGUUGCAAGAGAUAUUUUAGCAUUCCAGUAUCUACUAUGGCGUCAGAGUCUCAAUUCAGUACCAGUGAUAGAUUUGUUAGUCCACACAGAAAUAGGCUUCAUCUAAAGACUUUGGAAGCUUUAAUGUGUGCUCAAGAUUGGUUAUGGUCCAACAUUCAUGGUAUGAGAAAUAUAACUAUCUAUGUUAUUUUAUAAUUGUUAUUUAUGUUAUUUUUUUUUAUUACUAACUAGUUUUAUUUUUUGUUAGAGCAUUCGUCGCCUACAUCAUAUUCUGGAUGCUGUACAAAAUUAAGUGACAUGGAUAUUGAAGAAAAGGUAAAUUGAUUUUCCUUUUAAUGGACUUGAGUAAUAAAUAGUUAGACAUAUCGUUUGUCUAACUAAUACACUUCUUCAGUCAUCAAUUUUUAAGGAGCUAGAUAUAGACAUUCUAGAAGAAGAUGUCAGUUCUUGAAUAUCUACAACAUGAAGUGCUGCAUUAUGCGAUGUUUCUCUACAAGCUACGUCGUAAUUUAUCCAAUAGUUUGCACGAUUAGAAUAUAUUAGACAUAUUUUUAGUUGAGUGAAUGUAUUGUUUGUGGAUUUAAGUUAUGGUGAAAGACAAUUAUUUUGGCAUUGAUUAUUUGAUUUUCAUUUAACGAUUGAGAAGAUAUUUGAUGUUGAACAAUUCAACAUAUU